AAAAACAAAACAACAAAAAAAACAGAAAA
RNAcentral lists this small RNA (29 nucleotides) under Arabidopsis thaliana (thale cress). Its description in RNAcentral is "ATSL120000". Lineage: Eukaryota; Viridiplantae; Streptophyta; Magnoliopsida; Brassicales; Brassicaceae. The record is from RNAcentral.